AGGAUGAACGCUGGCGGUAUGCCUAACACAUGCAAGUCGAACGGGUGUCUUCGGACAUUAGUGGCGGACGGGUGAGUAACGCGUGAGAAUCUGCCUUCAGGAUGGGGACAACAGUUGGAAACGACUGCUAAUACCCGAUAUGACGAAAGUUGAAAGAUUUAUCGCCUGGAGAUGAGCUCGCGUCAGAUUAGCUAGUUGGUGUGGUAAUGGCGCACCAAGGCGACGAUCUGUAGCUGGUCUGAGAGGAUGAGCAGCCACACUGGGACUGAGACACGGCCCAGACUCCUACGGGAGGCAGCAGUGGGGAAUUUUCCGCAAUGGGCGCAAGCCUGACGGAGCAAUACCGCGUGAGGGAGGAAGGCUCUUGGGUCGUAAACCUCUUUCUCAGGGAAGAACAAAAUGACGGUACCUGAGGAAUCAGCAUCGGCUAACUCCGUGCCAGCAGCCGC
Molecule: ribosomal RNA, 449 nt
Filed under: uncultured bacterium
Lineage: Bacteria
Description: SSU rRNA
Rfam family: Bacterial small subunit ribosomal RNA
Source: RNAcentral